GACGAACGCUGGCGGCGUGCUUAACACAUGCAAGUCGAACGGAAAGGCCCUGCUUUUGUAGGGUGCUCGAGUGGCGAAGGGGUGAGUAACACGUGAGUAACCUGCCCUUGUCUUUGGGAUAACUUCAGGAAACUGGGGCUAAUACCGGAUAGGAGCUCCUGCUCCAUGGUGGGGGUUGGAAAGUUUCGGCGGUUGGGGAUGGACUCGCGGCUUAUCAGCUUGUUGGUGGGGUAGUGGCUUACCAAGGGUUUGACGGGUAGCCGGCCUGAGAGGGUGACCGGCCACAUUGGGACUGAGAGACGGCCCAGACUGCUACGGGAGGUAGCAGUGGGGAAUAUUGCACAAUGGGCGGAAGCGUGAUGCAGCAACGCCGCGUGCGGGAUAACGGCCUUCGGGUGAUAAACAGCUUUCGCCUGUGACGAAGCGUGAGUGACGGUAAUGGGUAAAGAAGCACCGGCUAACUACGUG
Molecule: ribosomal RNA, 468 nt
Filed under: uncultured bacterium
Lineage: Bacteria
Description: partial 16S ribosomal RNA
Rfam family: Bacterial small subunit ribosomal RNA
Source: RNAcentral